GAUGAACGCUGGCGGCGUGCUUAACACAUGCAAGUCGAACGAUGAAAGCGGGAGCUUGCUCCUGCUGGAUUAGUGGCGAACGGGUGAGUAACACGUGAGUAACCUGCCCUUGACUCUGGGAUAAGCGUUGGAAACGACGUCUAAUACCGGAUACGACCUUCGGAGGCAUCUCCUGGGGGUGGAAAGAAUUUCGGUCAAGGAUGGACUCGCGGCCUAUCAGCUAGUUGGUGAGGUAAUGGCUCACCAAGGCGACGACGGGUAGCCGGCCUGAGAGGUGACCGGCCACACUGGGACUGAGACACGGCCCAGACUCCUACGGGAGGCAGCAGUGGGGAAUAUUGCACAAUGGGCGCAAGCCUGAUGCAGCAACGCCGCGUGAGGGACGACGGCCGUUCGGGUUGUUAAACCGUACCUUUAGUUAGGGUAAGAAGACG
RNAcentral lists this ribosomal RNA (434 nucleotides) under uncultured bacterium. Its description in RNAcentral is "bacterial SSU rRNA". It matches the Rfam family "Bacterial small subunit ribosomal RNA", at positions 28 to 453 of the family's 1533-position model. The record is from RNAcentral.